Molecule: ribosomal RNA, 174 nt
Filed under: Triticum aestivum (bread wheat)
Lineage: Eukaryota; Viridiplantae; Streptophyta; Magnoliopsida; Poales; Poaceae
Description: partial small subunit ribosomal RNA
Source: RNAcentral
UUUAUUAAAGAAGAAAAAGAAGAAAACAGGGGUUCUGUUGAAUUUCAAGUAUUCAGUUUCACCAAUAAGCUACGGGACUUGCUUCACAUUUGGAAUUACACAAAAAAAAAUUCAUUGGAAAGAGGUCUACGAAGACUUUUGGGAGAUCGACGCGGAAAGUUCCGAUUGAAAUAG